CCUACGGGAGGCAGCAGUGGGGAAUAUUGCACAAUGGGGGAAACCCUGAUGCAGCGACGCCGCGUGAGUGAAGAAGUAUUUCGGUAUGUAAAGCUCUAUCAGCAGGGAAGAAAAUGACGGUACCUGACUAAGAAGCCCCGGCUAACUACGUGCCAGCAGCCGCGGUAAUACGUAGGGGGCAAGCGUUAUCCGGAUUUACUGGGUGUAAAGGGAGCGCUGGCGGCACGGCAAGCCUGAUGUGAAAGCCCGCGGCGCAACCGCGGGACUGCAUUGGGAACUACCGGGCUGGAGUGCCGGAGAGGUAGGCGGAAUUCCUAGUGUAGCGGUGAAAUGCGUAGAUAUUAGGAGGAACACCAGUGGCGAAGGCGGCCUACUGGACGGUGACUGACGCUGAGGCUCGAAAGCGUGGGGAGCAAACAGGAUUAGAUACCCCAGUAGUC
RNAcentral lists this ribosomal RNA (440 nucleotides) under uncultured bacterium. RNAcentral's name for it is "partial 16S ribosomal RNA". It matches the Rfam family "Bacterial small subunit ribosomal RNA", at positions 338 to 795 of the family's 1533-position model. The record is from RNAcentral.